GUAGGUGGCAAGCGUUGUCCGGAAUUAUUGGGCGUAAAGCGCGCGCAGGCGGUUCUUUAAGUCUGAUGUGAAAGCCCACGGCUCAACCGUGGAGGGUCAUUGGAAACUGGAGAACUUGAGUACAGAAGAGGAAAGCGGAAUUCCACGUGUAGCGGUGAAAUGCGUAGAGAUGUGGAGGAACACCAGUGACGAAGGCGGCUUUCUGGUCUGUAACUGACGCUGAGGCGCGAAAGCGUGGGGAGCAAACAGGGAUUAGAUACCCUGGUAGUCCACGCCGUAAACGAUGAGUGCUAAGUGUUAGGGGGGUUUCCGCCCCCUUAGUGCUGCAGCUAACGCAUUAAGCACUCCGCCUGGGGAGUACGGCCGUAAGGCUG
This 374-nucleotide ribosomal RNA is filed under the name uncultured organism. Its description in RNAcentral is "partial 16S ribosomal RNA". It matches the Rfam family "Bacterial small subunit ribosomal RNA", at positions 527 to 896 of the family's 1533-position model. The record is from RNAcentral.